This is a long non-coding RNA of Leucoraja erinaceus (little skate), 3060 nucleotides long. RefSeq lists it as uncharacterized. Lineage: Eukaryota; Metazoa; Chordata; Chondrichthyes; Rajiformes; Rajidae. The transcript has 4 exons. The record is from RefSeq and is a predicted model, not a curated record.
AUUUAUAAGGCCAUACAGAACAGAAACAGACUAUUCAGCCCACCUUGUCUAUGCCAACUAAGUGCCCAUCUAUACUAAUCCCAUAUGCCAGCACUUGGUCCAUACCUUUCUAUGCCUUGGUAAUUUGAGUGCUCAUCUAAAUACUUCUCAAAUAAUGUCAAAGUACCAGUCUCCACCACUGCUCAGGCAGUUGGUCCAGAUUCCAACCACCUUCUGGAUGAAAAAAAUCCUCAUCUGAUCCAUUUUGUCAUCUGAAAAUUAAGCCUCAGUGUAAGAUUGCUGUACAGUUAGAUGAUUAUAUUAUGAUCUUAGAUGUCUGCUAAAGGAGAACCGCAUAAUUACUCUGGUUACAAAAGCAAGUUGGGCCUGAACCAAGAGUUACCUGAAUCCGGGUUGGGCUCACAUUGUGUGAUACCCAAAAUCCUGGUUUGACCCCAACUGGAAAUGUCUUAUGUUUCACAAUUUCUUCCCAUCUCUAUCCUCGACUUCAUUCUAAUCUUCACCACAAGCCCCAAUUCUCCUUUCAACCACUCAUCACUGUUGCAUUCCCUGUGCUACUCCUUCCCUAGAAUCUCUCAGCAUCCGAGGGAAGAGAAGCAGACUUUCUACUCCUUUUUCAACCUUUCUCCAUAACUAAUCAGGGGGAGAAAAAUCUUGAAAAAUGAAAGAAAUAUCAGGAAUGGAAUUAAAAAUAAUUCCUGCGUGAUGGACAUUCAUGAAUCAGCCAGUCAGGUAAUGAAAGAAGGGUCUCGACCCGAAACGUCACCCUUUCCAUCUCUCCAGAGAUGCUGCCUGUCCCGCUGAAUUACUCCAGCAUUUUGUGUCUAUCGUAAUGAAAAGUAGGUUUAUUUUCUGUUGGUGGGACAAGCAUGACACUGUGAGAAUGAAUAUAUUGGACAGGAGCAUUCAGACAUCAAGUAAUGGGACUUUCAGGAAUGUGUCUAAUUCCAAAGGCAGUGCUGGGUCAGAGGAAUGGUCACCGAUGAUGUCAAUGAAUCAUCAAGGGAGUUCUGCAGUGUUGCAUUCAAGGUCAUGUUUAACUAAUUAUGGUGAAACUGCGAGGCAAUGAUUGACACCGUAUUACUUAUUUUGCAAAUAAACCGCAUAGAGUGGAACGACAAUUAUAUCGGACAUUUGAAACAUAUGCGGGCAGUUUCUAAUUCAAAUGAAACUCUAAAUGAUGACAGCAAAUUCGAGUUGGACAAGUUUUCUAGAAGCAGCCAAAGUAUUUAUUUCGCUGCACUCAGGCACCUCAGAAAAUUGCCCAAAAAUGGCCAGUAUUUCUACAAAAUCUGUCACCAUCUGAAUCCAGUGUUAAAAUCCAAUAUCAGAAAGACAUUCUUUAGUUCUGUUGAUCCUUGUGUAUGGAACAGAAAUAGAAAAAAAGCAAAAAAAUGCAAUAAAAUACAGCAGUGAGCUGUAUCCUGGGAUUUUGAAUACCAAGAUCAUUAACACAAAACAUGUGUGGGUUGUUGUGUAACUCCUAAUUCGGAAAUUGGGACGUUGGCAACAUCGUGAGAAAUUCCCUAAUGAAACGGAAAAGUGUUGGAAAAUAAACUGAAAUCUAACCAGGAACAACAAAUCUAAAUAAACAAGAAACAUAACACUUUAUAUUUUGCUCAGACUUUUGCUUUAAAUGGUACGGUGAAAAUUGUGCCAUGUUGAAUCUGGCCAGCCGCUCACCCAAGGAAAGUAGAGGGAUUGCGUUUCCAUGGUUACCCAUUAUGUAGACAGCAACAAACUGUGAAGAUGUUAGCAGGCCAAGCUGCCUGCUUGGAACAAGAAACCUCACAAAAAUGCUAAGCUUGCGAAAGAACAACUGGUGUAACUCCUUACUGACCAACGGUUGCUACUCAAGCAGGGAGCUCUUGCAAAGAGAACAAAAGGGGCUACAAGCAAGUUUAGAGCAGCUGCAAGAAUCUUGGGCACAGAUGAAAAAGCUUAGUGUGAAGUCGCAGCAAAAAGGGUUUGCACAAUCAUCCAUCCUGAGUCUGUACAAAGACCACAGACCUCAAGUGAAAACAUAUAAGGCAUGAUUAAUGAGAAUGUAGCUGAUUUGCUGUGAAAGUACAAGGCAAGGCUACCUACAAACCAAAACGUAACCAGGAGGAUCUGGUACAGAGAGUUGGUCAAUGCUGGUCAGUGGACACGGAUUACAUCUUUACGUGACUGCUUUGAUUCAGUGGACUGGUCCAUAUUCAGGGAUUCUGUAGCCAACCUAAAUGAGUGCACCACUGCUGUGACUGACUUCAUCAGCAAGUUCAUAAAAUAUAUUUACACUGAGUGGUGAGAAUGUGAAAGUUGGAAGGGAAAGAAGAGGAUAGCACCAGCAAACUGAAGGGACAACGUGGCCUAUGUGAAGCAGACGGCAAUCGUGGAAUCUGGGUGCGAAUGUAAUGAGAGGUGGAAAAUCGAUGUGUCUGCACAUGCUUGCAGGAAAAUUCAUUGCCAUCACAUCAGCUGGGAAAGGCCACUCAAAGACAAGAGGGAUAGCUGGCAUGGAGGGUGUUUGAAAGUGCACCAACGUCUUUACGUUCCUAGAAGUUCAAUGAGAUUCGGGAUGUCGUGGAUUACUUGAAUAAACAUCUACAGAUGCAUUGUUAAAACGUAUCCUGACUGCUUGCAUCAUGGACUAGUAUGCAGGAACACGAGAGGCUCUAGAAGGUGUUGGAAUCAGCCCAGUCCAUCACGGCCACAGCCCUCCCCACCAUCGAAAACCUCUGCACAAGAUACUGCCCCAUGAAGGCAGAAUCUAUCAUCAUGUAUCCACACCAUCUGGGCCAUGAUCUCUUCCCCCCAGUACUAUCAGGCAGGAGGCACAGAGUCCUGAAGUUCCACACCAUCGUGUUCAGGAACAACGACAUUCUUGAACCAAUCUACACAACCCUAAUCCGACCUCAGCAAUGGAACACUAAAGACCACCUCUUACAAUUCCCAUAGUUUCCUAAUUGUGCUUUCCACUAAUGUAUAAGUCUAGGUGCUUGUGAUGUUGCUGCCAAUAAGAUUUUCAAUGUACCUCACUGUAUCUGUGCAAUUAACAAUAAACUCGACUGGACUGUU